AGACCGAUAGCGAACAAGUACAGUGAUGGAAAGAUGAAAAGAACUUUGAAAAGAGAGUGAAAAAGUACGUGAAAUUGUUGAAAGGGAAGGGCUUGAGAUCAGACUUGGUAUUUUGUAUGUUACUCUCUCGGGGGUGGCCUCUACAGUUUACCGGGCCAGCAUCAGUUUGAGCGGUAGGAUAAGUGCAAAGAAAUGUGGCACUGCUUCGGUAGUGUGUUAUAGUCUUUGUCGAUACUGCCAGCUUAGACUGAGGACUGCGGCUUCGGCCUAGGAUGUUGGGCAUAAUGAUCUUAAGUCGCCCGUCUUGAAACACGGACCAAG
Molecule: ribosomal RNA, 321 nt
Filed under: Lodderomyces parapsilosis
Lineage: Eukaryota; Fungi; Ascomycota; Pichiomycetes; Serinales; Debaryomycetaceae
Description: LSU rRNA
Rfam family: Eukaryotic large subunit ribosomal RNA
Source: RNAcentral